This 506-nucleotide ribosomal RNA is filed under the name uncultured bacterium. Its description in RNAcentral is "partial 16S ribosomal RNA". It matches the Rfam family "Bacterial small subunit ribosomal RNA", at positions 30 to 523 of the family's 1533-position model. The record is from RNAcentral.
AUUGAACGCUGGCGGCAUGCCUUACACAUGCAAGUCGAACGGCAGCAUGGAAGAGCUUGCUCUUCUGAUGGCGAGUGGCGAACGGGUGAGUAAAGCAUCGGAACGUUCCGUGUAGUGGGGGAUAACGUAGCGAAAGUUACGCUAAUACCGCAUACGCACUGAGGUGGAAAGCAGGGGAUCGCAAGACCUUGCGCUAUACGAGCGGCCGAUGUCAGAUUAGCUAGUUGGUAGGGUAAAGGCCUACCAAGGCGGCGAUCUGUAGCGGGUCUGAGAGGAUGAUCCGCCAGACUGAGACUGAGACACGGCCCAGCCUCCGACGGGAGGCAGCAGUGGGGAAUUUUGGACAAUGGGGGAAACCCUGAUCCAGCCAUGCCGCGUGAGUGAAGAAGGCCUUCGGGUUGUAAAGCUCUUUCGGCGGGGAAGAAAUCGCACAGGCUAAUACUCUGUGUGGAUGACGGUACCAGCAUAAGAAGCACCGGCUAACUACGUGCCAGCCGCCGCUGUAA